This 1014-nucleotide long non-coding RNA is filed under the name Elaeis guineensis (African oil palm). Its description in RNAcentral is "long non-coding RNA (EGUI_LNC024322)". Lineage: Eukaryota; Viridiplantae; Streptophyta; Magnoliopsida; Arecales; Arecaceae. The record is from RNAcentral.
CCUACUUAAAUGAUGUCACGAAGAACAUUUUUCAAUGGCUUAUAGCCCUUUUUUGCUAGACCAUCUCACUGAUAUUUGAAACUUUCAAAGAAGGAACUCUACUUAGAGAUAUUGAGCAUUAUAGUCAACAUAAUUUUAGUUAUGGAAAAUCAUGUGGAUUGCUGACAUGUGAAAUCAUCAGACAAAUGAAUGUCCAAGAUUUACUUCUCAUCAUGCAGUCCAAUCGAAAAAGUCAACAAAGAGAGUAGAAUGUGGAGUUCAGACAGAGUGCAACUAGCAAAAGCUUCUUAAUACAUGUGAUUUUGUUGAGAUAGAAAUAUGCUUACUGGAAAAAUUAGUACUUAUUUUAUAUACCUCAUAUUGCAAGAAAAUAUUCAUAUCUUUCAACAUAAAAUGUUAGACUUAGUGUUGGAGCAUUCUGACAUUGUGUUCCAAGCAUUUUGACCCCUUGAAUAAUAAAAUUUGAGAGAGGAAGUUUCCUGUAGUCUGUUGAAUAUAUAGUUUAUAAUUUAUAUGUCAUCAUAUUUCUAACAACAAUUAACUCAUUGCUUAAGUUGUUUCAUUGAUGUUGUAACUAUAUUGCAUUGACUUUCAUUUCAAGAAGAUUAUUUAUGAAAAAUCCCGAUAUUGCAUUCCCGCCCUUUUCAUGAAACUAAAUUAUUUUAUAAAAUUGAGUUCAUUGGUUAAGAUGAAAUUUCAUAAAAUUACUGGAUAAUAUGGAAGUGGAAAAUUUCUUUCUGCAUAAUUUUUUCCAAACUUCAUAUUUUUCUCUUAUUUUCAUUUUACUUAUUUUCAUUUUUGAACCUCUUCUUUCUAUUUAAUAAUUAAUCAUGCCCUCUCAGCUCUCAAAAUUCAAAAACCUUAAAUCAAGGAAAGGAUAUCAUCAUGAUUUUGAAAUUAAAAACAUUCAAAGACAGUCUUUGUAGUGACUUCAACCAGUUAGGCUUAACUUUUUGGAAAUAUGCUCUUUUUUGCUACUUCAAUUCUUUUUCAGAUUUGUAUUUCAGCAAUCCC